RNAcentral lists this transfer RNA (62 nucleotides) under Cordylochernes scorpioides. RNAcentral describes it as "tRNA-Thr". The record is from RNAcentral. Lineage: Eukaryota; Metazoa; Arthropoda; Arachnida; Pseudoscorpiones; Chernetidae.
AGGGGGGGGGUUUGAACCCUGGAUCUUUGGUUUACAAGACCAACGCCUUACCACUUGGCCAC